GACGAACGCUGGCGGCGUGCUUAACACAUGCAAGUCGAACGGAAAGGCCCCCAUCUUGGUGGGGGUGCUCGAGUGGCGAACGGGUGAGUAACACGUGGGUGAUCUGCCCUGUACUUCGGGAUAAGCUUGGGAAACUGGGUCUAAUACCGGAUAGGACCAUGGUUUAGUGUCUCAUGGUGGAAAGAUUAUUGUUUUGGUGCAGGAUGAGCUCGCGGCCUAUCAGCUUGUUGGUGGGGUAAUGGCCUACCAAGGCGUCGACGGGUAGCCGGCCUGAGAGGGUGGACGGCCACAUUGGGACUGAGAUACGGCCCAGGCUCCUACGGGAGGCAGCAGUGGGGAAUAUUGCACAAUGGGCGCAAGCCUGAUGCAGCGACGCCGCGUGGGGGAUGACGGCCUUCGGGUUGUAAACUCCUUUCGUUAGGGACGAAGCCGCACUUUUUUUGGGUGUGGUGACGGUACCUUUGUUAAGAAGCACCGGCUAACUACGUG
RNAcentral lists this ribosomal RNA (489 nucleotides) under uncultured bacterium. RNAcentral's name for it is "partial 16S ribosomal RNA". It matches the Rfam family "Bacterial small subunit ribosomal RNA", at positions 28 to 507 of the family's 1533-position model. The record is from RNAcentral.